This 427-nucleotide ribosomal RNA is filed under the name uncultured bacterium. Its description in RNAcentral is "bacterial SSU rRNA". It matches the Rfam family "Bacterial small subunit ribosomal RNA", at positions 355 to 774 of the family's 1533-position model. The record is from RNAcentral.
UGGGGAAUUUUGGACAAUGGGCGCAAGCCUGAUCCAGCAAUGCCGCGUGCAGGAAGAAGGCCUUCGGGUUGUAAACCGCUUUUGUCAGGGAAGAAACAAGUUUCUCUAAUACAGAGACUUAAUGACGGUACCUGAAGAAUAAGCACCGGCUAACUACGUGCCAGCAGCCGCGGUAAUACGUAGGGUGCGAGCGUUAAUCGGAAUUACUGGGCGUAAAGCGUGCGCAGGCGGUUAUAUAAGACAGAUGUGAAAUCCCCGGGCUCAACCUGGGACCUGCAUUUGUGACUGUAUAGCUAGAGUACGGUAGAGGGGGAUGGAAUUCCGCGUGUAGCAGUGAAAUGCGUAGAUAUGCGGAGGAACACCGAUGGCGAAGGCAAUCCCCUGGACCUGUACUGACGCUCAUGCACGAAAGCGUGGGGAGCAAACA